Molecule: ribosomal RNA, 231 nt
Filed under: uncultured Lactobacillus sp.
Lineage: Bacteria; Bacillati; Bacillota; Bacilli; Lactobacillales; Lactobacillaceae
Description: partial 16S ribosomal RNA
Rfam family: Bacterial small subunit ribosomal RNA
Source: RNAcentral
CCAAGAGAUCGGAUAACACCUGGAAACAGAUGCUAAUACCGGAUAACAACAGAUGAUGCCUAUCAACUGUUUAAAAGAUGGUUCUGCUAUCACUCUUGGAUGGACCUGCGGUGCAUUAGCUAGUUGGUAGGGUAACGGCCUACCAAGGCGAUGAUGCAUAGCCGAGUUGAGAGACUGAUCGGCCACAUUGGGACUGAGACACGGCCCAAACUCCUACGGGAGGCAGCAGUU